This 492-nucleotide ribosomal RNA is filed under the name uncultured bacterium. RNAcentral's name for it is "partial 16S ribosomal RNA". It matches the Rfam family "Bacterial small subunit ribosomal RNA", at positions 29 to 507 of the family's 1533-position model. The record is from RNAcentral.
AGUGAACGCUGGCGGUAGGCCUAACACAUGCAUGUCGAACGGCAGCACAGUAAGAGCUUGCUCUUACGGGUGGCGAGUGGCGGACGGGUGAGGAAUACAUCGGAAUCUACUUUUUCGUGGGGGAUAACGUAGGGAAACUUACGCUAAUACCGCAUACGACCUACGGGUGAAAGCAGGGGAUCUUCGGACCUUGCGCGAUUGAAUGAGCCGAUGUCGGAUUAGCUAGUUGGCGGGGUAAAGGCCCACCAAGGCGACGAUCCGUAGCUGGUCUGAGAGGAUGAUCAGCCACACUGGAACUGAGACACGGUCCAGACUCCUACGGGAGGCAGCAGUGGGGAAUAUUGAACAAUGGGCGCAAGCCUGAUCCAGCCAUACCGCGUGGGUGAAGAAGGCCUUCGGGUUGUAAAGCCCUUUUGUUGGGAAAGAAAAGCAGCAGGUUAAUACCCCGCUGUUCUGACGGUACCCAAAGAAUAAGCACCGGCUAACUUCGUG